GGCGGGAUAGCUCAGCCGGUUAGAGCGUCGGAAUCAUAAUCCGUAGGUCGUGGGUUCGAAUCCCUCUCCCGCUA
RNAcentral lists this transfer RNA (74 nucleotides) under bacterium. RNAcentral's name for it is "tRNA-Met". It matches the Rfam family "tRNA". Rfam says of the family: Transfer RNA (tRNA) molecules are approximately 80 nucleotides in length. Their secondary structure includes four short double-helical elements and three loops (D, anti-codon, and T loops). RNAcentral also lists the same sequence under 1 other name. The record is from RNAcentral.